Molecule: long non-coding RNA, 581 nt
Filed under: Pan troglodytes (chimpanzee)
Lineage: Eukaryota; Metazoa; Chordata; Mammalia; Primates; Hominidae
Description: long non-coding RNA NONPTRT018312
Source: RNAcentral
AAAAGGUCAGAGGGACUGGCCAUAGGCAUAUGUGAAGCUUUCUUGCCAAUCUUCAUUGAACUCACACUUCAAAAGUCAUGGUUUUCUCUUUGUUUUAUUGUAAUUUUCUGUUUUAUUAUAAAGAAGAUUGCAGAAAAGAGGCAGAAUAGGAGAGCUGAAAGACAAAAAAAGAGUAUCUAAACAACAGAGGACACAUACUGGAAUCUCUGGAGCUCAUCCCUUCAGAGGGUCCUUCCCAGAAGAACUGUAUCUCCACUUCCUUGGUUCUCUGGAAUAAAUUACAACCUUAUGACUCAUGAGUCCAAACAGGACAGUCUUUACGUCUACCCAUCUUAUGAUUGAUGUGGCUCUCAAGGAACAACAAAACCUAAGCAAAUUAUGGGAAAAAGCAUUUAUCAACCACGCAAAUGAAGCCAUUCUUUGUAUGUAUUAUGCAUCUCAAUCUCCAUAUAUGGUUAUCAACGUAAUAAUUCAAGUAAAGAGUUUUUCUACACCAGGAGUUCCAAAACCAAGCUACAUUCAAAGAGAGAAACAACACAUUGGAUACUCAAGUUAUGAACCGUCAGAAGAGUCAGAAAUUC